UGCGUAGGCGGUUUGGUAAGUCUGAUGUGAAAUCUAUGGGCUCAACUCAUAGUCUGCAUCGGAAACUGCCGGGCUUGAGUGUGGGAGAGAUGAGUGGAAUUUCCGGUGUAGCGGUGAAAUGCGUAGAUAUCGGAAGGAACACCUGUGGCGAAAGCGGCUCACUGGACCACAACUGACGCUGAUGCACGAAAGCUAGGGGAGCAAACAGGAUUAGAUACCCUGGUAGUCCUAGCCCUAAACGAUGACUGCUUGGUGUGACGGGUACCCAAUCCCGCCGUGCCGUAGCUAACGCGUUAAGCAGUCCGCCUGGGGAGUACGGUCGCAAGGCUGAA
RNAcentral lists this ribosomal RNA (332 nucleotides) under uncultured bacterium. RNAcentral describes it as "bacterial SSU rRNA". It matches the Rfam family "Bacterial small subunit ribosomal RNA", at positions 568 to 898 of the family's 1533-position model. The record is from RNAcentral.